This 2129-nucleotide long non-coding RNA is filed under the name Capsicum annuum. RNAcentral describes it as "long non-coding RNA (CANN_LNC013177)". The record is from RNAcentral. Lineage: Eukaryota; Viridiplantae; Streptophyta; Magnoliopsida; Solanales; Solanaceae.
AUUUUUGAGCCUUUUCCGUAUAUAUAUAAUUUAAUUUUCUACUAUGUAGAAAGGUGAAGAACCGGACGACCAUCUCAGCUAAAAGUAUUGUACAUUACGCAACAAAAGCUGAUUUGUUGUAAUAUUAAAUAAAGAGUUAGGGCAUUGUCGUCUUUCGGGAUGUGCUUCUUCUUCCAAAUCAACUGGGGUUGUUGAAUCUGCAAUUGAAAAUCGACCAACUUUAGUACAGCAACCUAAUUUAGUAGGGUAGAAGCAAUAAAUGGACGGAAGAAACAAUACUGAGACUCGUAUAAUAUAAUAAUUUCUCGGUUUUAAUGUCAUACGUGGAAUUGUUUGUUAGAGAGGAUGACCCGCUUUUAAAAAAAUUUAUUUUUUUUAAUUUAAAAAUUAUUUACAAGUUUUAAAUGUUAUAAAUUAGUCCACAAAUCAUCAAUUUUUUAAAUAUAAAUAAAACUCCUUUCACCAAAUCUUUUACGCAUUUUACAAAUUAGUCCAAAAUUAAUUUGUGAUGGACAGAUCUGUUAUCGAUCCAACCUAUAUAUGGACAAAUUGAUUAUUGAUCCGACCUAUAUAUGGAUAGAUCAAUUAUUGAUCCAAUCUAUACAUAGACAGAUCGAUUAUCAAUCCGACAGAUCAAUUAUCGAUUCGAUCUGUAUAUGAACACGCUCUUAACUUGAUUCUGAGAAUAUAAAAAAAGAUGUCAAAUUGUCAAGAGGACGCCUAGUUUGGAUAUUUAAAAUAAACAAGAAAUAAUUAAGAUGUCAAACUGAAAAUUUAAUUUGUACCAACACUUUAAGAGCCCGCCGAUAUAUUUGGCCAAAGAAAAAUUCGAAACAAUAUUGAGAAGGCUAAAAACAUGUUAGUAAGGCAAUUUUCACAUGGGAAAUAAAAGUCUUGGACCAUGGAGGAAACGUUGAUUAUCUUAGUAUUACUCGUAUCCAUCUUUAGUACUAGGGGUGGGCAUGGUAUGAUAUGGUACGGUAUUUGAAACUUUAAUACGAUAAUUUGGGUAUUCGGUUUUUAAAAACAUUAUACCAUUAUCAUACCAUAUUAAUUCGGUAUGAUUCGAUAUUUUGACGUUUAGUUUCGAUAUUUUGUGGUAUGGUAAUCGGUAAUCAUAGUUUGUACAACUUCGAUAAUAUAUACUCGUAUACUAAAGUAUUAUUACUUCGACUUUUCAAAAACAUAUCUUAAUUAUAUCACAAAUAUACAUUACACAUGUAGAAAUAUUGAAACAGAAGUACAAACAAUUCUUUUUGUUAGUCAAUUACACAAAAAAAGACAUUUCAAUCAAGAUAAAGUAGCGAAAGUUUCAAUGUCUAUACUUCGGUAUGGUAUUCGGUAUUUCGGUAUGUCAUUUGUAAAUACCGAAUACCAUACCAUAUACCAAAAAAAAAUGUAUACCAUAUACCAUAUCAAAUACCAUAAUAUCAAAACCACGGUAUCAAAAUUUUGGUUCAGUAUGGUAAUUUGGUAUAUACCAUACCAUUCCCACCCCUAUUUAGUACACUCUUACAGAUCAUUUGGUAGAGUGUAUAGGAAUAAUAAAUAAGGUCAUUAAUAAUGUUUGCAUUACUAAAGCAAGUAUUAGUAAUGCUGGAAUUAGUUUUCUGUUUCUAUACACUGUUUGAUUUGAUGUAUUAAAAUUAAUAUUUACUUAGAUAAUUUUUAUAAAAGGAUGUUUGUUUAUCAAAAUAUCCUUCUUUUAUUAAAAGCUUUCGCAUAAAUCUCUUGGCAAUUAGAAAUGACAACAUCCACUUACAAAUUCACUUUUCGUAGAUGAACCGCAUCUUUAAUUCUGCAUCUUUAUUCUCCAAAGCUCCUCCUCCUCUCCGAAAAAAAUUCUCAAAUUUUGGUGCGAAUAGGAGAAGUUUAGGAAGUGAUGUUAUUGAAGAGAGGGGACAGACUAUUAUGAGAGGUUUCGGAGUUAAAAAUUUUAAAAGCAACAAUUGUUUUGCUAAAUGGCAGGAAGAAGAGAGGCGGAGAAAUCAAUAUUGUUUUUUCAUAGCAAAGUGCAGAGAAGAGAAGAGAGGAAAAAUGAUUAGAGGGGUAAUUUUAUAAUUCACCAAGUUAAUGCAUGUGUUGAAACCUUUGUAUAACUAAUAUACGAAAAAUGGAUGAUAUUACUA